UAGGAAGUUCACAAGCAGAGUGCUUGUGUUGUUUCUGGCACGGAGUUACCGGCCGUGGGCGUCCCUUCGCAGUGCCAUUCACCUCCAGCAGCCACAGCCAACCCCACUGCUCCCAUUAAGGGUGGCUCAGUCAGUUCCCGGCACAGCAAAGCUUGGGCUGUGGGUCAGGGCCACGAGCAAGGUGCAGCCGGAGCCAGAACGAAGCUGAUCGGUGUGGGUUGGAGUGCUGGAGGCAGCUGCUGCUGAGCAUUCAAACUAAAAACUCAGUGACCGGCGAUCCCCACACGCUUCCUGAAAUCAAGAGCUGAUCUCCUUAAUGAGCAACGCAUGGCUGUCACACCUCGUGCAUGUCGCUGCUCAGAGCCCUGAAGCACAACCUCCUGAAGCCCUGGGCGGUCACCCCACGUCUCUGCGCCUCUUUGAGUUCCAGUCCGUGUGAUUGAGGAGUUGCUGUACGAUCAGGUAAGCUUGCAGACACAGCUGGUUUUAUAACGUUCCCCAUAGUGCCCACAAAAGCAGAGCCCAGCAGCAGCCCCCACGGGGAGUUUGGGCCAUACAACCCGAGCUGUGUGGGUUUGUCCUACUAAAAGAUGUUGUAAUACGUAUGGAUAACUUGAAGCAAAGAAUACGUUCCAUAGCAACUGCAGUGUUUGUAGUAGCAAUAGCACAUGGGAAUGCCUCAGCACUGCAUUUCAGUGAUUGUAUGGACAUGCUGCAAGGAAAACUGUAGUAAUGAAGCACUGCCUGGAAAAAAAUAGAUGCAAAGCCAAAUUUUUACAACUAGUGUGAGCAACUUAUAAAUGAAACCCACUGAGAAUCAAAGGGAAAGAGCUUGUCAAGCACGGCUAGCCCAAGCAGCAUGGGUUAAGCCACGUCUUGUCAGGUUGUAUGGCGUAUGCCCUUUCUGUAUGCCCAGAAGGAGAAGCAAGGAGAUAUCUUUGUGCUGUAUCCCAGGUCUUGUUCCCUGAGCUCCAGCACUCCUACCCGCUGCACAGAGCAGCGAGACCAACGCAAACCCCAGAGUAAGAGAUCUGCAAAGGGUGGAGUUUGCGGUAGAAUAAUCUGGAAAACAUCUCUAAUUUUUAUAGAUAUAAAGCUCUGUGGAUUUUUAGUUUUGUGUAACCCGUAGAAACUAAUACAAAUGUAAAGAACGUUUUAAUCGACAUCUUUUAGCAUAAGUAAUACUCGAGAAAUAUAACAAAAUACGAAGUAUUGAGUUACUUCCCAGAGUCCCAUUGUUUUUAUUCCGCGUACAAAGAAAUGUAUGAGCCCUGAAGCAGUUUGAGAGGUAAAGGUUAAAUAAUGGGUAUGUAUUCAGCAUUUUAAAACUAAGAAACUGUGGAGCUCUGCAGUCCCUUGUACACAAAGAGCUUGUCAGCACGAGUUGGUGAGAGUGGUGGGAGAUCAGUGCUGGCAGCCCAGAGGAGACGAGCAGGAAGGGUUCGAGCUGAAAAGCAUAAAGAAGAAGGGAGUUAAUCGUGGUCUGUAAAACCAACGUUACUUCUAUUUGUUCCUUUGGCAUCGCAAUACCACUCCAAAACAGAGGCCAACUGUUAACAGAGGCAAAGCCAACUUCAUCCUUUGCAGGCUGACGAAUGGUCAUUCUGGAGAGCAGAAUAAUGAAAUUCAGACAACGGUGACCAAAUGUUGCUCCGUGGAACUUUCCUUUUACAAAACAGAUGAAUGCUCCUGGGCUCCAAAACACUGCAGGGAACAAAACUUUCAAACCUUAUGGAAAUAAAAUAGUAAGCCUAUGCAGUGACUUCAUCUCCUUUAUCAGAUCAGAGACGUUUUCUCUGGAAUUGAAAUGGAUUAGAAAAAACCCUCUAAGUAGAGGAAAAGAAUUAAAAUAUCCCACUGAAGCCAUUACUGAAAUACUGCUUUAUUUCAAAAAACACACCCACACGGGUGAACACUGAAUUUCACAGAGAAGAAAAACUGCCACAUCAUCAUCGUUCACAGACCUCGUGUUGCAGAUAGAAGUGUGCUAUGGUCAGGCAGGAAAAUAAAUAUCGCAGUGUUUGUGAUCAAAGGGAGAGAUAAGGCCGUGUGCUGCGUGUUCUGAUCCUGACGGAGGGCUGUAGAAAAUGACCACAGAUAAGCGGCUGAUGUGAGGGCUGGGAUUUUUGCCUCUGGGAUCCCCUGGAAACCCGAACAAGUCGGACCAUCCAGCACCUCGCCAGAUGAGGCCCUGUAUUUAUGUAAUGAGAAAUACCCACUGCGCUGCAGAUUUGUUGCUAGUGUGAGUGAGAUUGCGUUCACUUAAGCCCAUUGCAAAUGUAGCCACUAGAGUCAAAAUAAAAGGAGCCAAAAUAUAUAAAUCCAGCAGACAGAGUUUAUAGGGGAACUAAACCAAACAUUCAACAUGGAGAUUUAGUGCAGCCGAACUGGUGUAACUAAACAGGGUACCUUACAUCAUUCUGUGUCCUACGGGCACGGUCCCCGUUUUAGUGGCGUGCUGCGCUCACGCUGAUAUCAAUAAAAGUCUAACAUGCAAAAUGAGUGGAAUAUACGAGAUGUCAGAUGGUGCGGGACGAGCCCAUAAAGCCCAUACCUAAAAUCCACUGUCACGCUUUUGGCAACCCCCAGCCAACUUCCAUGCAAAUUCCACCCCUGGAUCCUUAACUGAUUUUGCCUUAAUUGAAAGCCUUAAAGGUGAAUUGAAAUGUUGUUGGAAUAAAAACCUGUUUAAGAUGCCAAAUCCCUAACAAAAUCCCAGUGCAGACUUACAAGUAAAUAAAUUGUAAAGGCAAACGUGCAGGCCUUCUUAUUAACCUGUCAAACCACGAAUUCUGGAAUCUGUUCUUCUCUUGCAAAAUUUGUGACAUUCUUCUCCCCCUAAUGACUGGAGUAUUUUACUGCUUUGCGGGCCCGGCAACAAUGAUGACAUUGUUUAGGAAGGUGGUGAAAUCUCCCUUGCUCAUGGUGAUGACUGGGGGACCGCUUCCCCAUUAAUUUAUGUGGAGAAUUGGGAGGUACAGACCAGAUGCCAUGGCCCUUUCUUGGCAGUGCUGCUCACUACACGUUGGGCUGGGGCUGCCCAUGAGGUUGUCUGAUACGGUGUGAAGUCAUGGAUGGAAGCAGCUGAGUGUGAGGAUAGUUCAGCUUUCCAAACUAUUGCUUUAAUGACCUCCUCCCUGAAUUUGAUUUUUGAGGACUAGGUUAAGUGAUUCCUCUUGCAAAAAGCAAGCAAACUCUGUAAGAGAAAUUGUGGGCCCUUUGACUGUAAGGGCCAUCACCUGACAUAUUUUGCACAAGUAUAACCUGCUCGUGCCCAAACUAAACUCAAUCCAUGACCUUAUUUUGGAGAUUCACUUCUCGGGGUAAUGAGGAAAUCAGAGUUGAAACAAUUGCAACGCUUCCCUACCGAAAGAUCCCUACAAAGCUCAGCAUCUGCAGUGUAAAUCACCAGCUGUGGGACUUGGAAGCAUCACUGCUGCAUGCUGCUCCUGUUGCCUGUCCUGUUCUGCACCUCGUCUGGUUGUUGAAUUAAUGCUUUGGAAGCACAUUGGAUACCGAAUCUGAUGAAACGCCGGGUGUCAGCGUGCAGUUAUGAACAUGAAACUACUACAACAACAAAAAUAAUGCAUUAUAAGCAUUAUAAUCCCUAUGUUUGCAUGUGUUAUUAAGUAGUCUCUGGUGUUUGCGUCCCAUUCUAUCACCCUUGUCCUUCCGGAAGGGUAACAUUACAUGUUACGCAGCUAUGUAAUUCAAGAAUAUAAAGAACAGAGUCCUGCUAUAUAUAUAAAAUUCCAAUGUAGUACACAUACGAAAGGCAAAGAAUUGUGGUCUGUUUCAGGCUUUUGCCUUUAUCUUUUCCAUUGCCUCCUGCCAAUUUUCAAAGUACUCCCAGAUCACAGACCGAACUAGAUUAUCCGAACAAGAACUCGGCCUCCCGGUCCUCCCUGCUACCACUCCCCAGGGAUACAGCCUGCCCUCUGACCCCCGGCAAUGCUCCCUCCCACUGCUACCUAUCACUGCCCGAUCCUUUGCUUUCCUCUUCAGGCAAAGGCAUUUCAGCCUGAGAAGGAAGCAGAGCUGUGCACACUGGCACCAGCACACCUACUCCUUGGCUUGCUUGGCCCCAAAAUGAAGGGAGACCCUGGAGGGUCUGUGCAUCCCUCCUCCUACAGACACAGUGAAAUAUGUCAUCAUUUGUACUGCACUCACUUUGGAAAACUCAGCUAGGAAAUGAAGGAUGUGCUCAGUGAGACAAUGUCGGCACUGCUGUCAGACAGAAUUCCCACCCUAAAGAAUUGUCAGCGGAAGCAAAGAUAUUUGUUAGUCUCCAGUACUCAAGAAGUACCACCAAUGGCUGUUUUCUACACCAUGGCAGCAUUAAAAGAUCAGUGGUGAACUCAGAUUUAAAUGGGGACUUCCCAUGGGUGCAUGGAUUUUCGGAAUCUGCAGGGCCUGGCCUUGUCUUCAGCUUCCACUCUGGAAUCCUCACUGGGCUCUGAUUCUAGUUACAUCUCAAGUGGGCAGAGGAUGAUUGCUAUGGCCUCGGUGGUUGAAAUGAGAAAGAUCUGGAAUAGAUUAAUGGGAGUGUGAGAGAUGGAAAGGAAAACAAGGACUUUCUCAUAAUGUGACACAAUACUUAAGAACACACACUGUCGAGUCUCUCUUAGCUUGCUGUACUUCUGACACUAUUCUCUUACAAUAUUUUGCUUAUCAUCCUCUUGUUAAGUUUAUUGUACUUACAAAUCAUUCCCAGACAGCCAGCUUCUUAGAUAUCUUUUCAUUAAAAAAAAAAAAAAGAAAAGAAUAAAAGAAUAAAAAGGUUUUGUGUGUAAUACAUUUCCCCUGCAGGAACUGAUUCCUCAGCACUGCUGACUACAAGCCUCUCCUUGUUUUAAAACACACAGCCAUGCAUCUGGCAGCGGGCUCUUCUCCCCACA
This 4898-nucleotide long non-coding RNA is filed under the name Gallus gallus (chicken). RNAcentral's name for it is "lncRNA (ENSGALG00010027010.1)". The record is from RNAcentral. Lineage: Eukaryota; Metazoa; Chordata; Aves; Galliformes; Phasianidae.